UUUAUUUCUUUUGUGCUGUGUUUAGGAGCUCUGGGUUUCGUGGAGCUCUGCUUCAAUGUUUUUGUUCUCUGUCUCUUGGUUUUAGGAGGGUGCGUUGCGGCGGUGAGUGGCAGCCGUGCUGCUGUUGAACGUUGAAGACAUUCCCUAUUCCUUUCUAAUUUUGCUCUUCUUCUUGGUCAAGUUGUUGCCAACGUGGUGGCAAUGACGUCGUUGCAGUAGUCGAGGUUGCUCCUGUUCUUGGCGGAUUCUCUCCUCAAGUAGCUGAUUUUCAUUGGAUGGUGGC
This 283-nucleotide long non-coding RNA is filed under the name Physcomitrium patens. RNAcentral describes it as "long non-coding RNA (PPAT_LNC004625)". Lineage: Eukaryota; Viridiplantae; Streptophyta; Bryopsida; Funariales; Funariaceae. The record is from RNAcentral.